AUUGAACGCUGGCGGCAGGCCUAACACAUGCAAGUCGAGCGAGCGGCCGACGGGUGAGUAAUGCAUGGGUAUCUGCCCGACCGAGCUGGAUACCUACUGGAACCGGUCGCCUACUCCGCCUUCUGUCGGUUGUACCCAUCUGGGAUUAGCUAGUAGGUAAGGUAAUGGCUUACCUAGGCGACGGUCCAUAGCUGGUCUGAGAGGAUGAUCAGCCACACUGGAACUGAGACACGGCCCAGACUCCUACGGGAGGCAGCAGUGGGGAAUAUUGCACAAUGGGCGCAAGCCUGAUGCAGCCAUGCCGCGUGUAUGAAGAAGGCCCUAGGGUUGUAAAGUACUUUCAGUCGGGAGGCGUUACCGACAGAAGAAGCACCGGCUAACCCCGGGCCAGCAGCCGCGGUAAUUC
RNAcentral lists this ribosomal RNA (406 nucleotides) under uncultured bacterium. Its description in RNAcentral is "partial 16S ribosomal RNA". It matches the Rfam family "Bacterial small subunit ribosomal RNA", at positions 30 to 526 of the family's 1533-position model. The record is from RNAcentral.